GCCUCGCUGUUAACUCCCCGCCAGCCCGCUGGGGCACACCGGCCGCCGCGGUCCUGCACUGCGGCUCUCCUGCCCGCUCGCCACGAGCCUGCAGCUGGUUUGCCCUCCAGGGCCUCUGUCCCCGUGCCGGCAGAAGGGUUUCAAGCGCGGAGGUCCAUCCAGGCAACAGAUCCUCCCACAGGGAAAUGGUAUCUGCGGAGGAUUUGUUUCUGCUUUUCCUGAUCCACUAUGACCUAUAGCUACCAUCGAACUCAAAGUUCGCUAUGACCCUAUGGGAAAUGACAACAAACACUGUUUGGACGGAAGGAGGUACAUAUAGUAGGCUCAGGAAAAACCGCUGAGGGGCAGCACGUUUUCACAUGGAAAAUAUUACUGUCUCAUGUGUAAGGAAAUCUUGAGCUAUUUACAACUUUACUGGACACAGAAGCUCCGAGGUGAAGUUGAUCAAAAUAUAUGGGAAGUCCAUCUUCCAAUUCCUAAAGUUGGGAUGUAAUUGAUUGCUGCCUGUCUCAGGAGUUGUGUAUAUACAGAGAUAUACAUCAUUGAUGAAAUGUAGUAUCAUAAUUCCAUGAAAUUGUAUGUAGUGGAGGUUGAUGUCUCAUAUAAAACUUAAUGCCAGAUACCAUCUCUCUCAAUAAAGUGGAACAUAAAGAAAAGGUAAUGAAUUUUUGUAAUAAAGCAAGAUGCUGAAAUAAUAUAUUUUAUGAUAAUACUCUGCCCAUCCCAUUCAAUGGUGUCUAUACUUAAAAUAAUUUAACACAUUGCAGAAUGAAAUGAGAUCAGUUUAUAUUCAAUAUUUUAUAAAGUCAAUGGAGUAGAACAAAACAGAUACAUGAAUACGCUUCUUUCAAUGCUUAGGUUAAAAAAUGUCACUGAACCUGCCACUGCAUCUGCGUAUAGAGUUGAAAAAGAAAGCAUGAGCUACAAACUGCUUUAGGAAAAAACUUGUGGUACAUGGAGAUUUCAGAUUUGAUAGGAUUCCUAGAAAACUUUCUUUCAAAAGAACAGGGAAAAACUGGGUUUUCUGUGAUUUUGUACCUUACUCCAAAAUUUCCUUCAUUACAAAAAACCCCUCCUUGCUUUCCUGCAGUUUACAGGUAAAUCAGGCCAACACCUGACCACUAAACAGCAGGGUUUUAGGCCCUUUUUUGCAUGGGGUUCUGGAAAGCUUUGGAGCUGAUUAAAAAUGUAGCCAUCUUCUCACAUGCAGCAGAGAGAGCUUGUAGUUUCUGAAGUUUAUGGUUUGUUCAGAUCCCUCUGACAUUCAGCCUCGUCAGUAAAGGUUUAUUCUUUGUAUAGCAAAGACUUUGGAUUUUCUCUCCUGGAUCUGAACUUCCAAGGUUCAGAUCACUUCAAUUCUGCUUCCAGGUAAAAAAAAAAACAUAGAGGUAGGAAGCUCUGGGAAGAGAUCUGAUGGAGGUGAUCUCUGGGUUUAUGAUGAAUCACAGACUCGGGGGCCACAAGGAAAGAAUGAAUGAACAGGGUCUGUGCAAUUGAGAGAGAAGCAAGGAAUGUAUAUAAAUCUUCAAAUGUAUAAAAGACUUCAGCAAAGACAAAGGGAAUAAAUUCUUCCCGUCUGUAAUAAGCUGGAAAGAAAUAAUGGAUUUAAAUUCCAUCAAGGAAUAUUCAAAUUAGGAAAAAUUUGUUAAGAAGAGUGAAGCAACCAGCCAGCCUGGGGUUGGCACAGAAGCUCCAUCAUUAGAUGUGUUUCCAAACAGGUUAAACAAAUGUCUUCUCCUGUGAAUAGCUGAUCCUGCCUUAGGGUACUAAAUACAGGAGUUGACCUUCUAAAGCCCCUUUCGCUUCCUAUCUAAUUUUCAGACAGGCUUUCUAAGGAAACAAAUUUCCUAGGAUUGUGCUGCCAGCCUGCCUUAUUUCCUUAACAAGUCAUGUAAUAAACCAUUAGAAAGCUUUAAGAAAUCUAACAGUUCCCUUACCCCUCACUAAGACGUUACACAGAAAGAAAUGGGAAAUAAAGCUUUGUUGGCUUUGCUGCUCGUUGUUUUUUUGUUUGUUUGUUUUUCUGAGGGGGGUGCAUGUUGGGGGUUUUUUUGAUCGUUUGGGGUUCUGUAGUGAUCAAUAAAGCACCCUGUCAACUUGUUUUCAUCUCAUUGUCAAUUCCUUUCUAAGCCCAGCCU
This is a long non-coding RNA of Pygoscelis adeliae (Adelie penguin), 2138 nucleotides long. RefSeq lists it as uncharacterized. Lineage: Eukaryota; Metazoa; Chordata; Aves; Sphenisciformes; Spheniscidae. The transcript has 4 exons. The record is from RefSeq and is a predicted model, not a curated record.